Molecule: ribosomal RNA, 476 nt
Filed under: SAR202 cluster bacterium
Lineage: Bacteria; Bacillati; Chloroflexota; Dehalococcoidia
Description: bacterial SSU rRNA
Rfam family: Bacterial small subunit ribosomal RNA
Source: RNAcentral
UGUCGUCAGCUCGUGUCGUGAGAUGUUGGGUUAAGUCCCGCAACGAGCGCAACCCCUGUCGUUAGUUACUAUGUCUAACGAGACUGCCCCCAUUGGGGAGAGGAAGGUGGGGACGAGGUCAAGUCGUCAUGGCUCUUACGCCUAGGGCUACACACACGCUACAAUGGUCGGAAACAAUGGGCUGCAACAGCGCGAGCUGAAGCGAAUCCCCAAAGCCGAUCUCAGUUGGAAUUGUAGGCUGCAACUCGCCUACAUGAACGUGGAGUUGCUAGUAACCGUAGGUCAGCACACUACGGUGAAUACGUUCUCGGGUCUUGUACACACCGCCCGUCAAGUCAUGGAAGUCGGUAACGCUUGAAGUCGUUGGGCCAACCCUUUGGGAGGCAGACGCCGAGAGUGGGACUGGUGACUGGGACUAAGUCGUAACAAGGUAGCUGUAGCGGAAGCUGCGGCUGGAUCACCUCCUUUCAAGGGAG